GGAUGGAGAUGAAAAUUAUAAUGGUAAAAGCUUGCCAGAUUAUACAAAUGAGGAGUUGCUUGGCUUUAGGAAAAAAUAUGUUUGUGACUGGAUCCUUGACAACGACAACAUCCGAAUAUUCGACACCUUGGAAUGAUUUGGAUUAAUAUAGGAUUUUAAUAGGAAAAGAAAGACGGAUAAAAUUUUGAUUUCUGUAGUCCUUCAUGAAGACAUUGUACAGAUGUAUAUUAUGUUAAGUGCAU
RNAcentral lists this small RNA (242 nucleotides) under Vigna angularis var. angularis. Its description in RNAcentral is "Non-protein coding transcript". Lineage: Eukaryota; Viridiplantae; Streptophyta; Magnoliopsida; Fabales; Fabaceae. The record is from RNAcentral.